This 432-nucleotide ribosomal RNA is filed under the name uncultured bacterium. RNAcentral describes it as "partial 16S ribosomal RNA". It matches the Rfam family "Bacterial small subunit ribosomal RNA", at positions 338 to 795 of the family's 1533-position model. The record is from RNAcentral.
CCUACGGGAGGCAGCAGUCGAGAAUUUUUCUCAAUGGGGGAAACCCUGAAGGAGCGACGCCGCGUGGAGGAUGAAGGUCUUCGGGUUGUAAACUCCUGUCAUUUGGGAACUAGUACCAGAAGAGGAAGAGACGGCUAACUCUGUGCCAGCAGCCGCGGUAAUACAGAGGUCUCAAGCGUUGUUCGGAUUCAUUGGGCGUAAAGGGUGCGUAGGUGGCGCCAUAAGUCAGGUGUGAAAUCUCGGGGCUUAACUCCGAAACUGCAUUUGAUACUGUGGUGCUUGAGGACUGGAGAGGAGACUGGAAUUUACGGUGUAGCAGUGAAAUGCGUAGAGAUCGUAAGGAAGACCAGUGGCGAAGGCGGGUCUCUGGACAGUCCUGACACUGAGGCACGAAGGCCAGGGGAGCAAACGGGAUUAGAUACCCUUGUAGUC